CAGCAGCCGCGGUAAUACGUAGGUGGCAAGCGUUGUCCGGAAUUAUUGGGCGUAAAGGGCUCGCAGGCGGUUUCUUAAGUCUGAUGUGAAAGCCCCCGGCUCAACCGGGGAGGGUCAUUGGAAACUGGGAAACUUGAGUGCAGAAGAGGAGAGUGGAAUUCCACGUGUAGCGGCGAAAUGCGUAGAGAUGUGGAGGAACACCAGUGGCGAAGGCGACUCUCUGGUCUGUAACUGACGCUGAGGAGCGAAAGCGUGGGGAGCGAACAGGAUUAGAUACCCCCGUAGUCCCUGUCUCUUAUAC
This 301-nucleotide ribosomal RNA is filed under the name uncultured bacterium. RNAcentral's name for it is "partial 16S ribosomal RNA". It matches the Rfam family "Bacterial small subunit ribosomal RNA", at positions 509 to 807 of the family's 1533-position model. The record is from RNAcentral.